Molecule: long non-coding RNA, 2540 nt
Organism: Oreochromis aureus
Lineage: Eukaryota; Metazoa; Chordata; Actinopteri; Cichliformes; Cichlidae
Source: Ensembl
CCCAUGAUGCACCUCGGUAUCUGUACUUCCGGUUGGGAACGUGUUCAGCGCAGUUCUGCACAGAUGAGAGGUGUGUCGGAGGUGUCGGAGGAUUAACGUUUUUCCUUGCAUUCGUGUGUGUGUUAACCCUGUGUGCGUGCUUAUCAUAUGACCACACACACUCAUAUACACACUCACACUCCCUUUCCCUGCAUGUGAAUGCUGUAAUGCAAUCGCUUCCCCACCGACGCUGUACAUCCUGUUGAUGUCAUCUGCCACCUCCUUAUUAAAGUUACUUGAACUACAUCACUGUGGAGUGCCAUUCCUUCUGACCGAGGACGACUCAGUUGAAGCGUGAUCGGCAAUCAGUGCAAACAUACAUAACAGACCAGAAAAACAUCACAGCUGAAUCUGGACAGGACGUCACUCUGACAUGUCGAGCUCCAAACAAAAACAAGAUCACAGUUUUAGAGUGGACCAGAGCUGAACAGCAAAAUGUCCUUUUGUACCACAAUGAGCGGUUGUAUCUAGAUGACCAGCAUCCAUCUUUUAAGAACCGGGUGGAUCUGCAGGACAGACAGAUGAAGGAUGGAGACGUGUCUUUGAUUCUGAAGGAUGUGACGAUUAAUGAUACUGGAACAUACGCGUGUCGUGUCAUCACAGGAGGAACAAACCGCAGGAAGAGCCCAAAUGUGGGUGCCAGCUUCAUCUACCUUCAUGUUGAUCCUCCAGCUCAGACAGGAGGACAAGAGAAGGAUGAAGACAACAAAGAUGGAGGAAAGGAAGACAAAGAGAAGGAGGAUGGAUCUGUGGGACUGAUAGUUCUUAGUCUGCUUCUUGUAGCUGCUGCUUCUGUUGGUUUUGUGAAGUACAAAGAAAAUGCAAAAAAAUGUUUGAACAUGUUGUUCAAAUAAGCAUUCCAGAUAGAGAGAAAUGUCCAGCAGACAUCUGUAGACUUCAAACAUCCAUAAUUUGAUUUUAUUUCUCAUUUCUCUGAUUAUGAGAAACAGACGCACACUGUUGGUCUGAGUCUGUGCUGUCUGUUUAUUCAUCCUCUACUCACUUACCUGGAGGAUCAACUAUCCAUCAAGCCUGUUCAUGCGAUUCACUGACACAAACUAAAACUGUAACAUACAGGAAUUUAUGAGGCAUAAUCUAACAAUCAAUGAGUGUUUUUUUUUUUCUUGUAGCUUCAGGUUCAGCAGCUGUUUAUAAACUUAUUCUGUGAAUUUGAAUCACAAAAAUUAGAUGGUCUUUUUCAGUGGUUGUUGCUCAAUGUUCAUGACAGUUUUCAUGUUAAUGAUCAAGGAACUGACCUCACAGCCCAUUGUUUCAUCAGUGGGCUAGUUUCAGUUAUUGUGCAAAUGUACUGUUUAUAACUCUCCAAAAGUUGAUUCUGUUCAUCUGGAAGUAGCAUUUUCAGUGGGAGAAACAUUUCGCAAAUUAUCCAGGUGACUUCUUCAGUCUCAGCUGACUGCAGGUUUCCCCAAUCUUAUAAACAGUACAUUUGCAUAACGACUGAAACCAGCCCACUGAAGGAACAAUGGGCUGUGAGGUCAGUUCCUUAAUCAUAAUUAUGCAAAUUCUCAUGAUCAUCAAAAAUCUCAACUUUUUGAGAUUUACUUUCCUGGAUGAUUGAGAAUGCAUCAAGAUGAUACUGUUUAUCUGUGCCAUGGCAGAAGACCAAGGGCAGCUACACUACUACACUGCACUUUGGGGUGGCGGUAGCUCAGGUGGAAGAGCAGAUUACCUUCUAACUGGAAGGUUGGUGGUUCAGUUUCUGUCUGCUCCAGUCAGCAUGCUAAAUAUCCUUGGGCAAGACACUAACUCCAAGUUAAGUGUGUGAAUGUUAGAUAGAAAGAGCAUAGAAAAGUGUGUGAAUGGGUGAAUGAGGCAAGUUUUUUUAAAAGUGCUAUAUAAGAGCCAGUCUAAAGUUUGGACACACCUUUUCAUUUAGGCUCAGGCUCUUGAUAAAAUGACAACAGGUCGGCUCUGAGCGCUGAUACUCUGCCACGCCUCAGGGCUGUGACUCUGACACUGGAACUGAGCUAGACUUCAUAAUUUGUUUAUCUUUGCUUCACAUCACCACUUCUCAAACACUCCACUUUGUUCUGCAACCUCAUGACUGAACCCAACCUUGAUUUUUUUCACCCCACUUUACAGGGAGAGACUCAGAGAGGCUUUCAUUUUCAUUUCACAAGAAAAAGUUAAUCAGUUUCACAUGCAGAUGAUUCAUAUAGCACACACUGUUUGUGCAGUUUGUUUUCCUGAUUGUUCUGGUUACUGAUCUGGUUCAACAAGCCACCAGUUUUAUUUUCUUUUGCACAAAGCCAAAGCAGCCAAACCUCCUGUGCACUGUAUUAAAGAGUGGAUAAGAAAUAAAGACUGAGUGCAGAGUUCUGUCUUCACCUUCACCUACUGGAGAAAGUCUGAAGAUGUUAAAGCAACAUGUGUGUUGCACGUGGAUUAAAAUGAAUUGAAACCAGUGUGACUUUGUGAGUUCGCCUUUACUGUAUCUGCAAAUAUAUAUGUAGACAUAGCACGUUACACCUUUUGCAGUC